UACGUAGGGUGCAAGCGUUAAUCGGAAUUACUGGGCGUAAAGCGUGCGCAGGCGGUUUUGUAAGUCUGUCGUAAAAUCCCCGGGCUCAACCUGGGAAUGGCGAUGGAGACUGCAAGGCUAGAAUCUGGCAGAGGGGGGUAGAAUUCCACGUGUAGCAGUGAAAUGCGUAGAGAUGUGGAGGAACACCGAUGGCGAAGGCAGCCCCCUGGGUCAAGAUUGACGCUCAUGCACGAAAGCGUGGGGAGCAAACAGG
Molecule: ribosomal RNA, 253 nt
Filed under: uncultured bacterium
Lineage: Bacteria
Description: partial 16S ribosomal RNA
Rfam family: Bacterial small subunit ribosomal RNA
Source: RNAcentral